UGAGCAAUCUGCCCUUCUCAUCGGAAUAAGCGUUGGAAACGACGUCUAAUGCCGAAUACGACCUCCUUUCACAUGAACGGAGGUGGAAAGCUCCGGCGGAGAAGGAUGAGCUCGCGGCCUAUCAGCUAGUUGGUGUGGGUAAUGGCCCACCAAGGCGACGACGGGUAGCCGGCCUGAGAGGGUGACCGGCCACACUGGGACUGAGACACGGCCCAGACUCCGUACGGGAGGCAG
Molecule: ribosomal RNA, 234 nt
Filed under: uncultured bacterium
Lineage: Bacteria
Description: partial 16S ribosomal RNA
Rfam family: Bacterial small subunit ribosomal RNA
Source: RNAcentral